AUACUUACCUGGCAGGGACAAUACCAUGAUCAAGGAGGUGGUUUGCCCAAAGCGAGGCUCAGCCAUUGCACUCAGGCUGUGCUGACCUUUGCAAAUUCCCCAAAUGCAGGACUGCAUAAUUUAUAAUAGUGGGGGUCUGCAUUUGCGCUCUCCCCUU
Hemibagrus wyckioides is the source of this 157-nucleotide small nuclear RNA. RefSeq annotates it as U1 spliceosomal RNA. The transcript has a single exon. The record is from RefSeq and is a predicted model, not a curated record. Lineage: Eukaryota; Metazoa; Chordata; Actinopteri; Siluriformes; Bagridae.